CCUACGGGAGGCAGCAGUGAGGAAUAUUGGUCAAUGGCCGGAAGGCUGAACCAGCCAAGCCGCGUGAAGGACGAAGGUGCCAAGCAUUGUAAACUUCUUUUGUCAAGGGACAAAAUCAGGCUCGAGAGCCUGACCGAGGGUACUUGAAGAAAAAGCAUCGGAUAACUCCGUGCCAGCAGCCGCGGUAAUACGGAGGAUGCGAGCGUUAUCCGGAUGUAUUGGGUUUAAAGGGUGCGUAGGCGGGCUGUUAAGUCAGCGGUAAAAAGCCGGGGCUAACCCCCGGCGAGCCGUUGAAACUGGCUGUCUUGAGAUGUCGAGAGGUAUGUGGAAUGCGCGGUGUAGCGGUGAAAUGCUUAGAUAUUGCGCAGAACUCCGAUUGCGAAGGCAGCAUACCGGCGGCGAUCUGACGCUGAGGCACGAAAGCGUGGGUAUCGAACAGGAUUAGAUACCCGGGUAGUC
RNAcentral lists this ribosomal RNA (459 nucleotides) under uncultured bacterium. RNAcentral describes it as "partial 16S ribosomal RNA". It matches the Rfam family "Bacterial small subunit ribosomal RNA", at positions 338 to 795 of the family's 1533-position model. The record is from RNAcentral.